Molecule: transfer RNA, 85 nt
Filed under: Mycobacterium koreense
Lineage: Bacteria; Bacillati; Actinomycetota; Actinomycetes; Mycobacteriales; Mycobacteriaceae
Description: Mycolicibacillus koreensis tRNA-Leu
Source: RNAcentral
ACUCAUGGUGGCGGAACUGGGAGACACGCCAGGCUUAGACCCUGGUGCUCGUGGGAGCGUGCAGGUUCGACCCCUGCCGGGCGUA